This 29-nucleotide small RNA is filed under the name Bombyx mori (domestic silkworm). Its description in RNAcentral is "ovarian small RNA-16227". Lineage: Eukaryota; Metazoa; Arthropoda; Insecta; Lepidoptera; Bombycidae. The record is from RNAcentral.
GCAACGCGGCGGCGUGCCCCCGUGGCGUC